UACUACUGAGCAUGUCCACCACCGCACCACCACCACACGGGCCUGCACCUUUGCCCGCGGCUAGGGUUUCGGGCGCCUCCCGUGUUCUUGCCAGAAUCCACCAUAAUCGGUGAUUGUGAGGCCGGAGCUUGCGGGAUCCAUCACCGGCGGCGGUCGGGAGCCCUCGGGCGCCGCGUCCUCCACCCCGGCGUCUGGCGGCAGGAGGAUCCUGCGCACGCAGACCGCGGGCAACCUGGGCGAGUCCAUCUGCGACAGCAAGGUGGUCCCCUCCUCGCUCAUCGAGAUCGCCCCCAUCCUCUGCGUCGCCAACGAGGUCGAGGCCAGCAACCCACCCGUCGCGUACCUAUGAUUUGUUCACCAGCCUGAAAAUGCUGGCCGUGAAGCGGGCGGAGACCACCAGACGUCCCCACCUUGCCGACCCGUUUGAUUUGCGCAUGCUGCGUGCUAUCGGUAUUGCUUGCUGCAUCCUCCGCUUCCUCCAUCGAUGGACACUGGCACGGAGUAUGCAGUAGAAUGCUUAAAGUUAGUCGAUUGCUGACGUGCUGCUUGUUUCUUGCUCGAUGCAAUGUGCUCAUCUCUUUGUUGUUUGGUAGUAGAACAAUCGUCGGUACUCUGAAUUUGUGUGUGUCGAACUUGGAGCAAACUUCUGAAUUCAUAGUGUAGGCCUUUUGAAUUCAACUUUGCUGUUUCUUGCUCAGAGUAAAUCAUUGUUGUUGGGUAGUAAAUCUACCCGUACUUUCUUGUCAAUUCACGUGCCAUUGUAGACA
Molecule: long non-coding RNA, 767 nt
Organism: Triticum aestivum (bread wheat)
Lineage: Eukaryota; Viridiplantae; Streptophyta; Magnoliopsida; Poales; Poaceae
Exons: 2
Source: RefSeq, a predicted model, not a curated record